This 159-nucleotide ribosomal RNA is filed under the name Escherichia coli. RNAcentral describes it as "partial 16S ribosomal RNA". It matches the Rfam family "Bacterial small subunit ribosomal RNA", at positions 1 to 151 of the family's 1533-position model. The record is from RNAcentral. RNAcentral also lists the same sequence under 3 other names. Lineage: Bacteria; Pseudomonadati; Pseudomonadota; Gammaproteobacteria; Enterobacterales; Enterobacteriaceae.
UUAAAUUGAAGAGUUUGAUCAUGGCUCAGAUUGAACGCUGGCGGCAGGCCUAACACAUGCAAGUCGAACGGUAACAGGAAGCAGCUUGCUGCUUCGCUGACGAGUGGCGGACGGGUGAGUAAUGUCUGGGAAACUGCCUGAUGGAGGGGGAUAACUACU